UACGUAGGGGGCAAGCGUUGUCCGGAAUUAUUGGGCGUAAAGCGCGUGUAGGCGGCUUUGCAAGUCGGGUGUGAAAUCCCUCGGCUCAACCGAGGAAGUGCGCCCGAAACUGCAGAGCUUGAGUGCCGGAGAGGAUGGCGGAAUUCCCCAAGUAGAGGUGAAAUUCGUAGAUAUGGGGAGGAACACCGGUGGCGAAGGCGGCCAUCUGGACGGUAACUGACGCUGAGACGCGAAAGCGUGGGUAGCAAACAGG
RNAcentral lists this ribosomal RNA (253 nucleotides) under uncultured bacterium. RNAcentral's name for it is "partial 16S ribosomal RNA". It matches the Rfam family "Bacterial small subunit ribosomal RNA", at positions 524 to 776 of the family's 1533-position model. The record is from RNAcentral.